GACCACGUAGCUCAGUUGGCAGAGCAUUGGGCUAUAGUAUUCCAAAGGUCGUAGGUUCGAUUCCCACCGUGGGCG
This 75-nucleotide transfer RNA is filed under the name Paramuricea clavata. It matches the Rfam family "tRNA". Rfam says of the family: Transfer RNA (tRNA) molecules are approximately 80 nucleotides in length. Their secondary structure includes four short double-helical elements and three loops (D, anti-codon, and T loops). The record is from Rfam by way of RNAcentral. Lineage: Eukaryota; Metazoa; Cnidaria; Anthozoa; Malacalcyonacea; Plexauridae.